GCACUGCUGAGGAGUCCCAUAAUAGGACGAAACGGGUGUCCAGUGU
Molecule: non-coding RNA, 46 nt
Filed under: Schistosoma curassoni
Lineage: Eukaryota; Metazoa; Platyhelminthes; Trematoda; Strigeidida; Schistosomatidae
Source: RNAcentral